AAGCGGCAACAGCUCAAAUUUGAAAGCUAGCCUUCGGGUUCGCAUUGUAAUUUGUAGAGGAUGAUUUGGGGAAGCCGCCUGUCUAAGUUCCUUGGAACAGGACGUCAUAGAGGGUGAGAAUCCCGUAUGUGACAGGAAAUGGCACCCUAUGUAAAUCUCCUUCGACGAGUCGAGUUGUUUGGGAAUGCAGCUCUAAAUGGGAGGUAAAUUUCUUCUAAAGCUAAAUAUUGGCGAGAGACCGAUAGCGCACAAGUAGAGUGAUCGAAAGAUGAAAAGCACUUUGGAAAGAGAGUUAAAAAGCACGUGAAAUUGUUGAAAGGGAAGCGCUUGCAAUCAGACUUGUUUAAACUGUUCGGCCGGUCUUCUGACCGGUUUACUCAGUUUGGACAGGCCAGCAUCAGUUUCGGCGGCCGGAUAAAGGCUCUGGGAAUGUGGCCUCCACUUCGGUGGAGGUGUUAUAGCCCAGGGUGUAAUACGGCCAGCCGGGACUGAGGUCCGCGCUUCGGCUAGGAUGCUGGCGUAAUGGUUGUAAGCGACCCGUCUUG
RNAcentral lists this ribosomal RNA (545 nucleotides) under Aureobasidium pullulans. RNAcentral's name for it is "eukaryotic LSU rRNA". It matches the Rfam family "Eukaryotic large subunit ribosomal RNA", at positions 96 to 656 of the family's 3401-position model. Lineage: Eukaryota; Fungi; Ascomycota; Dothideomycetes; Dothideales; Saccotheciaceae. The record is from RNAcentral.